GGGAUUGCAGUGGCAAAGCUAGGCUAGGUCUUGGAGGCUGGUGUAAGGCGAUGUGGGUGAAGGCAGGAGGCUGAUGGAAAGACUGGGGGGAAGAAAAGCCGAAAUGGAUUCACGGUGCCUUGGAUGAAGGACGAGAGGGGAACUGCAAGCUCCUUCAACUGGUUCUGUCCGGUGAGAAGUGAUCAAGCUUGGGCUGACAAGAGGCUCAGGGAGCCCUCACGUUCUUUCGCUUUUUUACCUGCCAAUCAAACUGCUACAAGACAACACCCUGAUCUGGCAUGGACAUCGCGGGUCCAAGCCUGUAGCCCCAAAUCGGAUAAUCUCUGCAGCUGAUAACAAGCAAAAGAGAAGCCAGGCAACAGCCAUAUUAAAGAAGAAAACAAUCAACUCUGAGCAGGAAGAAAUGUAAUGAAUUGAGUGCUGUCAGAGAUGUCUUCUGUUUGAACAAUCUGCGAUGGGCUGAAUGGCAGGGACUCCCUCAUCCAGUGCAGAUCCAACUUAGAAAUAAUGUUUCAUUCAAGAUAAGGCUCGUGGCUUAGGAGAUUGUGACCUGGCUUGCAUCAUUCUAAGACUUCUAUCGUCUGUUUUCAAAACCCAAGGAGGACCUCCUUUUCUGUGUGAUAGUUCCUCAUGCUUUGCCAGCCACUGGGUCUUUAAGGAAGCUUGCCAAGAGUUCCCGGCUGGGAAGGACAGUUCGAGUUCAUCAUAGACAAUGAGCUGGCACCACAGUUUAAGUGACUCACCAACCUGGUU
This 753-nucleotide long non-coding RNA is filed under the name Homo sapiens (human). RNAcentral describes it as "SOX2 overlapping transcript". The stretch from base 11 to 286 matches the Rfam family "SOX2 overlapping transcript exon 3". The record is from RNAcentral. Lineage: Eukaryota; Metazoa; Chordata; Mammalia; Primates; Hominidae.